GAGACCCCUGUUGGUAAUUGCUAACUGUCCAGAGAUGGGUAGAGGCUAGUUACCAAGACUGCCGCUGCUAAAGCGGAGGAAGGAGGGGGCCACGGCAGGUCAGUAUGCCCCGAAACUCCUGGGCCACACGCGGGCUGCAAUGGUAGGGACAAUCGGCUCCAACCUCGAAAGAGGAAGGCAAUCCACAAACCCUACCUCAGUUGUGAUUGAGGGUUGAAACCCGCCCUCAUGAAUAUGGAAUCCCUAGUAACCGCGUGUCAUCAUCGCGCGGUGAAUAC
This 278-nucleotide ribosomal RNA is filed under the name uncultured archaeon. Its description in RNAcentral is "partial 16S ribosomal RNA". It matches the Rfam family "Archaeal small subunit ribosomal RNA", at positions 1047 to 1325 of the family's 1478-position model. The record is from RNAcentral.